RNAcentral lists this unclassified non-coding RNA (387 nucleotides) under Hevea brasiliensis (rubber tree). Lineage: Eukaryota; Viridiplantae; Streptophyta; Magnoliopsida; Malpighiales; Euphorbiaceae. The record is from RNAcentral.
GGAAAAUGAGAGGGCAUCAAGACUAGCAUACAUAUUUUCAGAUGACAAAUUUAUAAGCUGACAUUACAACCGUUUAUGUUACAACAUCAACCUCUAAAAGACACAUUUGUACAAGGAAAGAAGCUUUAGCUACAGCCAUCCAAGACACCCAGAAACAAAAGUUGCAAGGGCCUGAGCAGCAAGAUUUUCGGCUUCGUCUUUACUUGAACCUUUGCCUUGAAGGUAUUUCUUUGAAAUCUGGAAAGAAUGGUCACCACCAUCAAUAACAUGUAACCCACUAAUUGAUUUCAUCCUCUUCCGGAUAUCCUCCAAUUUCUCUAGAGGACACAGAGCAUCCCUGCUACCCUGUACAAACAUGAUAGGAACGGUAACUUGCAAUAAUGUCAG